Molecule: long non-coding RNA, 387 nt
Filed under: Olea europaea (common olive)
Lineage: Eukaryota; Viridiplantae; Streptophyta; Magnoliopsida; Lamiales; Oleaceae
Description: long non-coding RNA (OEUR_LNC009348)
Source: RNAcentral
CCUUCGUUACUUUUUUCUUCAAUUUCUUCCCGUAUUCCACCUCUUCUUCUACCUUCUCCCAUAGAGAUUUAAGCUCAUCCUUCUAGCUCGAAUUGUUCUUGGUUGACAUUUUCACUGAAGUUUUCUUGCGUUGCUUCCAUGGUCUCAAGUUUCUGCCUGAUGAUGACAACGUCAGGCAAAUAAUCAUCUGCCGGUUGGAAUGAGUUUGGCUUCUCGAGGUUUCACCUAGUAGGAAAUGAGAUUUUAUAUGAGAACCAUGAAACCUUAACCAGACUAGGAAUGCUGAAGCUUAUAGUCAAAACACUGGUUGUUUGUUUACGGAGGAUCUGAAGGCUUCUUUCUCAUCAGAGUCAUUCGUGUAAACAACCUGCACACCGAGAAUCUUGC